ACGGCCCGUCUGCAAACCAGGACUGAGCCACGUCCUUCAGCUCUCUCAAGGCUUUCUCCAUGGGCACAGAGUGAAAAAUAAUGUGCGGGUGGAUCGCCCACGUUCCAGCAGCUGCGUUCACCGUGUGACAGGUUGGGAAGCACUGUCACACCAGCUUCAACACCCCUGUGAGCCCGAGCUGGGGGAGGAGAGUCACCCCAUAGAUCCGACGAGGAAAGCCAGACUCAGAGAAGGCGAGGCCUUGCCCAUGAGCCAGCAGUCACCCCCUAGACCAAACCUGAGCUGGACUCUCUGCCACUGGCUCCUGCAGGCCCGAGGCAAUCAAUGUUGUUGGGUGAGCAAAU
Molecule: long non-coding RNA, 344 nt
Filed under: Equus asinus (donkey)
Lineage: Eukaryota; Metazoa; Chordata; Mammalia; Perissodactyla; Equidae
Description: lncRNA (ENSEASG00005028651.1)
Source: RNAcentral